ACUGAAUUUGAGAAACCAGUCUCUCCCCCUUUGCUUUCACUCACGCAUAGCUUUUCCCGUUCUCCCUUGAAAACCCUAGCCUCCAUUGCGCCGGCGUUGGUCUCACCGUCGCCGCCUGGUUCGUCGUGCUCGAAGGCCCUCCCGUUCGCCCAACGCCAGCGUCUCCAGGUUUUGCUCCAAAGUCGUCCGUCCGUCGCGUUCGCCGCCAGCUCCCCGUCGUCCGUCUCCAGUUCACCAGUGUUCGUUGCCAGCUUCCCGUCGUCCGUCGCUCUCCCUCAAAUCUAUGGUCACUGCCCUCGCCGAAGGAAAUAGUUGGAGGUAUGUAAGAAUUAAGAAGGCAGACUAUCCCAACGAACCUUGAUUAAAACACAGCAGAGGCAGUGCUGAAAGCCUCAACCUUCUCUGUUGCCGCCUCUCGCCGGCCCACGUCUCGUUGCCGCGCUGCUCACGUCUUCCUCUGCAUCACCGCGCCCCUCGUGUCUUCCGCUGUGCCUCGCUGUGUCUUGGUUCUCUGUCUCCCUCUUCUCUGCGUCCGGCCAAGCUGCAAUGGUUACUUUUUGCUGAUUCUGACCCUCUCUGCCUUGUGCUUCCUCUGGCUUUGGUUCUGUGAUCGGAAUACUGUGACAUUUUAUUGGAACACUGAGGCUUUUGUUCUGCUUCUGAACUUUGCAGAGGAUCGGGUCAACCGGUUUAAGCUGUGAAGUGACCUAGUUGUCUGACUUGUUCAAUCAUCGAUUCAGUUCUGACAAGUAUGUCUGUGACUUAGCAAAGCCAAAAUGCUCUCCAAACUAAGAUUCCUGAACCACUUCGUCCACAAGAAUCUUUCUACACGAACCACCGCUUUCAGUGGCUUCUACCGCUUCUCCAACAGUGGCGCUUUCUGCACCGUGGCUGAUUCAACCACACAGCCAACCCCCGAGUCGUACGAACUCCCUGAUUGGGUCAAAUUCUCCGACAACCCAACCUCUCCCAAUGGCGACUACGACGAAGACUUCGUUAUCCCUUCACUUGCUCCUUGGGUCGACGGCCACCUCCUUCAUCCCACUCCCAAAUUUGUCAUCACCCCAACUUCCCAGCCAAACAACCUUGAAGAGGUCGAAGCAAUCACCACUCGUCUAAAGGAAAAGCACCCAUCUCCUGAGAAAGUUGCUCAAGCACUUGCUCAACUGAGUGGUUUUAAGGUUUCAAAAGGUUUGGUUGAACAGAUUCUGAAGAGAUUCAGUAAUGAUUGGGUCUCGGCUUUUGGGUUUUUCUCAUGGGCUAAAGUUCAAACAGGUUAUGAGCAUUCUCCUCAACUAUACAAUUUCAUGGUCGAUAUCCUGGCAAAGUCGAAGAAUUUCCAUCUCAUGUGGGAGUUAGUGGAGGAAAUGGCUCAUCUUCAACAAGGGUAUGUUACCUCGGACACAUUGGUUAAGGUUAUGAGGAGGCUUGCAAAGGCUGGCAAGCAUGAAUAUGCCAUUGAAGUGUUUCGCAGAAUGGGGAAGUUUGGUGUCAAACAGGACACAGCAAUGUUGAAUGCUCUCAUGGACGCAUUGGUGAAAGGGAAUAGUGUUGAGCAUGCCCAUGAUGCUCUUUUGGAGUUCAAGGGUUCGGUUCCCUUGAAUUCCCAUUCUUUCAAUGUUUUGAUACAUGGGUGGUGCAAAGUUAGGAAAUUUGAAUGGGCCAAGAAAGCAAUGGAGGACAUGAAGGAACAUGGGUUUCACCCUGAUGCGUUCUCAUACACUACUUUCGUCGAAUCAUAUUGCCGCGAGAAGGAUUUUCGCAAAGUGGACCGAGUUAUGGAGGAGAUGAGGAAAAAUGGUUGCACCCCUAAUGCUGUGACUUACACAAUUGUGAUGCUUGCUCUUGGGAAGGCAGGGCAGCUCAAAGAAGCUUUGGAGUUGUAUGAAAAGAUGAAGGUUGAUGGGGGUGUGCCUGACACUGCAUUUUAUAGCUCCUUGAUAUUCAUUCUUGGCAAAGCUGGUAGGAUUAAAGAUGCUCGUGAUGUGUUUGAGGAUAUGCCAAAGCAAGGUGUUGUGAGGGAUGUGAUGACUUACAAUACUAUGAUUAGUAUUGCUUGUACUCACCAGAGGGAAGAGACUGCCCUGAGGUUGCUCAAGGAGAUGGAAGAUAGCACAUGUAAGCCUGACCUUGAGACAUAUCAUCCAUUGUUGAAGAUGUGCUGCAGGAAGAAGAGGAUGAAGGUGCUCAGGUUUCUGUUGGAUCACAUGUUGAGAAAUGAUUUAAUCCCUGAAGUGGGAACUUACACGCUUUUGGUGCAUGGUAUGUGUAGAAGCGGAAAGCUUGAGAGCGCUUGCUCAUUCUUUGAGGAGAUGGUGUUGCAGGGAUUAACCCCAAAGGAAGUCACGCGGAAGCUCCUGCUGGGAGAACUCGAGUCCAAGAACAUGAUCAAAGAGAAACAACACAUCGAGGAUUUGAUGGCACGGGUCCAACGCAACAAUCUCGUUGCUAGUUAGUGGUGUUUUCGGAAGCAGGAUUCAGUUCCAAGAAAGCAAAUUUUCCUUGCGAUUGGAUUCCGUCAUUUCCCAUGAGAAAAAUGAUACCAGUAACAGUGGUUCCUAACUUUUGCAAAGUUGGAUUCAUUAAUUUGUAUGCUAUAAACACCUAUUUUGUAAUUUUAAGGCAGGUGCGUUUUAUAAUACUUAUGGUAUAAAAUUCCAUUAAAGCUCUAAGCGGACAAUGGAAGGAAAUCACCCAGAGAGGGGAGGAAAAAAAAAAAGAAAAUCUCCAAGAUUGAAAAGCAUUUUGUAUUGGAUCUAUUAUUCUAUUUUUUGGGGUGAUUAGAUCUAUUAUUCUAUUUAAAGUGAAAAAAAGAAUAAUAUCAAUUAAUUUUUAAUUUUCUUUCA
Non-coding RNA from Arachis ipaensis, 2846 nucleotides. NCBI's taxonomy places the organism in Eukaryota, Viridiplantae, Streptophyta, Magnoliopsida, Fabales, Fabaceae. The record is from RefSeq and is a predicted model, not a curated record.